CAUUAUCUUUUAUAUAUAUCUCACUAAGGUUGUUUUAUUUUGCAAAAAUUCUCAAGCAUUCUUACUUUGCAUUUAUUGCCUGAUCAAAACGGGAUCCGAGGAGGGAAAUGUCAUACUCUUAGAUCAAAGACUUUGGAAAUUAAAAACUUUGUCAUCUCUUGCUGGCAUAUUGCUUAUUAGAGGGACCAUGGGCUAUCAUUUUUUUUAAGUGGAUACCGAGGUACCCCAAAUUCUACUGCCGGACACUUGUCCAUUUUUUUCUGCGAGGUUGUCGAGCACUUGCUCCUUUUUAUUUCCUCGAAAUAUCUCUAUUUUUGUAUAGCCCAUGCCUCUAAUGCAAUAAUACUUCGGAAGAGUGAAUCUUUCUGAAAUAAUGUCUUGAUCUUAGGAGCAUGAUAAAUCUCUCAACAAGGGUCUAACUCAUUUUGAACAAACUCAAUACAGAGUAGAUAGGUUUUAUAAUCAUAAUUAGUAUUUUCAGUUUUGUCAGGCAUAUAAAACACUGAGGAUGGUAGCUAGAAUUUUGAAUAUUUUGAAAUAAAUUCUCCAAGCAACAAUGAUAUCAAGAAUAAGAAACUCAUACUCUAUCAUCACAUAUUCCAAUUGACUUAAGUAACACAGGGUUUUAAAAUGAUUUUAUAAUAAUUGCAAGUUUUCAGGAAAUAUCAU
RNAcentral lists this long non-coding RNA (669 nucleotides) under Sorghum bicolor (sorghum). RNAcentral's name for it is "long non-coding RNA (SBIC_LNC010142)". The record is from RNAcentral. Lineage: Eukaryota; Viridiplantae; Streptophyta; Magnoliopsida; Poales; Poaceae.